Molecule: long non-coding RNA, 889 nt
Filed under: Mus pahari (shrew mouse)
Lineage: Eukaryota; Metazoa; Chordata; Mammalia; Rodentia; Muridae
Description: RIKEN cDNA 2010110E17 gene (MGP_PahariEiJ_G0005156.1)
Source: RNAcentral
AUAGUUCCAGACCAGUUUGAGCUACAAAGUGAAACCUUGUCUCAAAAACCAAACAAGAGCUGUCUGGCUGUCUCGGUGGCUAAGAGUGCUUAUUGGCUAUCAUAAGGACUAGGAGUUUGGUUUGGCUAGCAUCACUCCAGGAAACAGAACAGAUCUUCAAUCCCAGCUCCAGCGGAGACCUGAGGGCUUGCUGGCUUGCAGCUUAGCUGACAAAAGGCAGAAAGGGGAGCCGAAGAUUCAGGGAGAAACCCAAUCUUAAAGGAGUAGAUGACAUGGUAGAGAAGAUCACCCGAAGGCCCCUCUGGCCUCUGCUUAGAGAGAGAGGUGCUUACCAUCACACUCUUAUGCCCAUACAUUCACACACAAGUAUAUGCAUAACUCUAAAAUAAAUCUAUUUUUAAAAAAAAUGUUGGUUAUGGUGUCAUAAGCCUAAAAUUGUGGCAGCACUUAGAAAGUUGAGGCCAGAGUCAAUCAAACACAAAACCAAAUACCUUCUCCUAAUGGAGUGGGCAGGGGAGCAGUUCCUUCACUGUACCUCUGGCAUACAGGAAAGGGAAAAGACAAUUUCAAUAGGGUUAUUUGUGUUAUGUGAGGGGCAAAAAUAAUAGGGAUCAUACUGUGGGACUAGGGCAAAUAAACCCAAAUCCUUCCUCAGGUCUGUUUUUCUAAGUCAAAGGCAUCACUUGAUUCCAAUGCCUCCCAGAUGUGCUUUCUUCUUCUUUUAAAUUAUUUAUUCACUUUAUAUAUGAGUACACUGUAACUGUCUUGGGACUCAUCAGAAGAGGGUAUCAAAUCCCACUACAGAUGGUUGUGAGCCACCAUGUGGUUGCUGGGAAUUGAACUCAGGAUCUUUGGAAGAGCAGUCAGUGCUUUAAACCCCUGAGCCAUC